Molecule: ribosomal RNA, 510 nt
Filed under: uncultured bacterium
Lineage: Bacteria
Description: partial 16S ribosomal RNA
Rfam family: Bacterial small subunit ribosomal RNA
Source: RNAcentral
GACGAACGCUGGCGGCGUGCUUAACACAUGCAAGUCGAACGAAGAGCGAUGGAAGCUUGCUUCUAUCAAUCUUAGUGGCGCACGGGUGAGUAACGCGUAAUCAACCUGCCCUUCAGAGGGGGACAACAGUUGGAAACGACUGCUAAUACCGCAUACGAUCUAAUCUCGGCAUCGAGGAUAGAUGAAAGGUGGCCUCUACAUGUAAGCUAUCACUGAAGGGGGGGAUUGCGUCUGAUUAGCUAGUUGGAGGGGUAACGGCCCACCAAGGCGAUGAUCAGUAGCCGGUCUGAGAGGAUGAACGGCCACAUUGGGACUGAGACACGGCCCAGACUCCUACGGGAGGCAGCAGUGGGGAAUCUUCCGCAAUGGACGAAAGUCUGACGGAGCAACGCCGCGUGAGUGAUGACGGCCUUCGGGUUGUAAAGCUCUGUUAAUCGGGACGAAAGGCCUUCUUGCGAAUAGUGAGAAGGAUUGACGGUACCGGAAUAGAAAGCCACGGCUAACUACGUG